RNAcentral lists this long non-coding RNA (539 nucleotides) under Danio rerio (zebrafish). Its description in RNAcentral is "si:dkey-33i11.3 (ENSDARG00000099497.2)". The record is from RNAcentral. Lineage: Eukaryota; Metazoa; Chordata; Actinopteri; Cypriniformes; Danionidae.
UUCAUCCACCUAGCCACCUCUACAACCUGACAACCCAUUGCAUCAUGACACCUUCUAUCAUCUUUCAGCCAGAAUACCUUGAGACCUCCUAGCCACCCCAUGGCAACCUUCUUAAAAUAAUUUAUUCUGGGCUACCUCGUCAAUCUGUUAACCCAUUGCAUCAAGACGGUGAUGUUGGCGAUGAGCUGGUUGACACUGGAUGAGCAAACAUAUUUCCACCUCCACUGUGUGGAGUCAAACACUCUCAGCCUCUGGUCUGCUGCACUCACCUGCACUGCAGGACACAAUCAAGACUGUACGUGACUGAAACACAAACAAACAAGUGUAAUAAGUCUCAAAAGUGACAGCAGUAUUCUGCUAAAUCAGCAGAUAUAACAAGCAAACCGGUCUCACCGAGGGCCCAGAUGGCGGCUCCCAGCCCUCCCAGAAUAAUCAAGAUCAGAGAAACUGCAGCGACCACCCGGCAUGGACUGAAGAUGCUCAUGCCUGGACGUCCUGAAGGACAUAAACCAAACAGGGCUUUCAGUAUGGGGACAAAG